This 465-nucleotide ribosomal RNA is filed under the name Vreelandella stevensii. Its description in RNAcentral is "partial 16S ribosomal RNA". It matches the Rfam family "Bacterial small subunit ribosomal RNA", at positions 338 to 795 of the family's 1533-position model. The record is from RNAcentral. Lineage: Bacteria; Pseudomonadati; Pseudomonadota; Gammaproteobacteria; Oceanospirillales; Halomonadaceae.
CCUACGGGAGGCAGCAGUGGGGAAUAUUGGACAAUGGGGGCAACCCUGAUCCAGCCAUGCCGCGUGUGUGAAGAAGGCCCUCGGGUUGUAAAGCACUUUCAGUGAGGAAGAACGCCUGGUGGUUAAUACCCAUCAGGAAAGACAUCACUCACAGAAGAAGCACCGGCUAACUCCGUGCCAGCAGCCGCGGUAAUACAGAGGGUGCGAGCGUUAAUCGGAAUUACUGGGCGUAAAGCGCGCGUAGGUGGCUUGAUAAGCCGGUUGUGAAAGCCCCGGGCUCAACCUGGGAACGGCAUCCGGAACUGUCAAGCUAGAGUGCAGGAGAGGAAGGUAGAAUUCCCGGUGUAGCGGUGAAAUGCGUAGAGAUCGGGAGGAAUACCAGUGGCGAAGGCGGCCUUCUGGACUGACACUGACACUGAGGUGCGAAAGCGUGGGUAGCAAACAGGAUUAGAUACCCUUGUAGUC